Long non-coding RNA from Cryptomeria japonica (Japanese cedar), 2628 nucleotides. RefSeq lists it as uncharacterized. Lineage: Eukaryota; Viridiplantae; Streptophyta; Pinopsida; Cupressales; Cupressaceae. The record is from RefSeq and is a predicted model, not a curated record. The transcript is spliced from 3 exons.
AACAUUAAUAUUAUUAUUAAUAAAUUGAUGCAUGGAAUUCUUUUAUACAAAAAUUUUUUUUUUAGAGAAUAGCACAUUUUUUUAACUAUUAAAUGUAUCCAAACUUUUAUAUAAGAUAAUACAGUAGUCAUAAAUUUUAUAAAUAUUUUUAAAAACCUAAUAUAUGAAUUUCUUAAAUACAAAAGUGUUAUAACAAAGUUUUAAAAUAUUGAUUUUUUUUAUUUUGAUUUUUUUUAACGUCUCUUAUAUUCCUGCCAUCUGUGCAUGGAACUAUAGCAUAGGCCAUGCUCUUAAACAGUUAUUAAUUGACUAUAUGACAUCCAAUCAGAAUUCCAUUUUGUUAAGGUUUUUUUUUUUUCUAAAUUAAGCAGGUUAGACUGGAAGUUGUUUUAAUAUAAGAUAUUGAUCAAAUAGUUUUCAUGGAUCUCUCAUUGGCUUCCAUUUGUGAUUGCAUGUUGUCAGGGGCUUGCUUUCAGUAUUUUAAGAAGAGAAUAACGCAUGAGGAGUGUAGAAAGGCAGAAUGCAUUUGGAAAGGCGUAUAUUAUAAGUUUAUGAAGUGUAAUUUAUAUUUUAUUUCUCUUUUUAUGACCAAAUGGUAAAUCAGUAACUUCACAAGAAGCCACCUUAUUAUCCUACGUGGACAUGGUAAAUCAAAGCAAAUGAAAUCUUAUUCUACAUGUCCAAAGUUGGAAAGGCGUAUAUUAUAAGUUUAUGAAGUGUAAUUUAUAUUUUAUUUCUCUUUUUAUGACCAAAUGGUAAAUCAGUAACUUCACAAGAAGCCACCUUAUUAUCCUACGUGGACAUGGUAAAUCAAAGCAAAUGAAAUCUUAUUCUACAUGUCCAAAGAUGUAAAUAAAUCGGAUUUACCUGUUAUCUAAUUUCAUUACGUUCACCGCCAAUUGCCAAAGGAGAACCGCCAUGAUCCACACUUUAUAAAAUUAGUUUGUGGGUGAAGAAGCAGAGGAAGAUUUCUUUUGGGAAAUAACAUGGCAGACAAAGGGUAGACGAAAAGGAAGGCAACUUAAGAGUAACAGACAGAGAAAGAUAGAGAACUGCAACAAGCAACACACAAAAGAAAUGUACCUCUGCAAUCCCAACCUUUCCAUCUGAUCGGCAUCUUGAUAGAACAUUGAAACAGAUUUUUCCUGGUGGUUUUUUCUUUUUCAAUUAAACGAAAUUCAUUCACCAUUCGAAGGCCCACAUUCCCCAAUUUCCUUUAAUUGUGGACAUGUCUUUUGCACGGAGCGGCAAGGUUUUUACAGAGCAGUUAACGUGCUGGUUCCAGGGUUUCAAGCCUCGAUGGCAGGUGGCAUUGAAAUGAUUCAUAUGCCUCUGUCUAUGGUUCCAUAUUUUGCAUACAUAUCCUGCCGCCUCUCUAAAAUCUCGGCAAAAAAAUGCAGACCAUGCUACAGAUGAAUACUCAAGUCUGAGAAAGUGAUUUCAAAAACCCCUAAAAUAGCAAGGAAGAAUAUACUAGGUAGGAAGGAAAAACACGUAUCCAUGGAAGCAGUGUGCAGAGAUUGCUUUUGCUUCAUCUUAUUUUCAAAAGAAUGAUUCUUUGUUAUGGUUGUGCUAUAUUUUUCCUAAAAAUUCUCUGCAUUUUUCCUGAUUGGUUUUGGCUGCAUGAUACUAUUUGUGCAGAAUCUUGAGGUGAGUCGAUUGCCACGGUUUCAGUCAGUUUUUUAAAUGAAUUUGUACACAACUAGAUCAUUUUUAGUUGUGUUUUAUUUCAUAUUGAAACAACGUUGUUCUUGUCUGCUAAAUGAAGAUGCCCUAAAAUACGGAGUAAAGUUUUUGGUCAUGGGCUGCAAGGGGUCCACUCAACUUUUGUUGUGAGUCGAUAAAUCUUUCAAGGUAUGAGACAUGGGCAGCUUUCCUUGUUGAUCUGAGGCUAUGAAGGGUAAAUUACAACCUUCUCAUUGAGAAGGUCAGUACUCCCAAGUGCAAAUUUUAAUUCAUCAGUGUCCAGUGGAAGCAAUCCUGGAAGACUGUAUAUUAUAUUGAUUUGAGUUCCAUUGUAUGUAUUGGAGUUGAGAAAAAAUUAACUCUACAACUCUCAAAGAUCACCUGCAUGCAAGCCUCUAACAGAAGGAGAGAACAAAAAAAGCAAUGGAGGCCAGAAUUCAGAGAUCCAGAAAAGAGGUUGAGAAAAAAUUAACAAUACAACUCUCAAAGAUCACCUGCAUGCAAACCUCUCACAGAAGGAGAGAAGCCAAAAAGCUAUGGAGGCCAGAAUUCAGAUAUCCAGAAAAGAAGAGUCAUAUUUGAUUGUGCAACAAGAAUGCAAUAGAGUAUAAUAGACUAAUACUUAAAUAAAUAAUUAUUAACUAAUAAAAGAUUACUCUAACAGAUGUAUAUUUAACGAAGAAAGGAUUAUAGAGUUCUUUUCUCUUGAUAGUUUGGGUUUUAUAGGGUCUAUGUCAUACGUACACAAAUAUUUAUUGGACUAUAUCUAUUUUAUCUGUUGGUGUGUAUUAUGUCGAUGCAAACAAGUCUCUCUUUAGACUCAACAAAAAUGAGUUGUUCCAUUAGCACAUUCAUUAUCUAGAGGUCAAUCUCUUUAGUGGGUGUGUAUAUAUGCAUUUUCCACUCAGUUAAGCAAUUUAAAUGUUUACAAUUAUUUUUCAA